This is a small nucleolar RNA of Apodemus sylvaticus (European woodmouse), 132 nucleotides long. RefSeq annotates it as small nucleolar RNA SNORA17. NCBI's taxonomy places the organism in Eukaryota, Metazoa, Chordata, Mammalia, Rodentia, Muridae. The record is from RefSeq and is a predicted model, not a curated record. The transcript has a single exon.
CCUGCCUCUAGAGACAUUGCAGGAGUGGCUACUGUGUCACAGGUGCAUCAGUAGCUUGCAGAGAGGAGAGAGGCUCCAACUAGAAUCAGUGUUCUGACCUGUGAACAUCUGAAUGAUUAGCACCCUAACACU